CUCUCUCCUCUCCUCCGAAACUUUCUCUCCUCUCUUCUCUCUUCGAUUUCAUUCACCUAGGGUGAGAUUCCGGACAAAACCCGAGUAUUAAAGUUGCUAUUCGGAGUACGGGCUUUCCGAAUAUCCAAGAAAAAUCAUGAUCGGACCUCGUGGAGCUACGGUUGACUGGGUCAAAGGGUCGGGUUUUACUCAAAACCCUUGAGGUUCAUUGCAGGUCAUGGUCAUGGUCAUGGAGUACUUGGAGUGCAUGCUGACAUUAUCGAUUAAAGCUAUUUUGGAGAGUACUUUAUUCUUGUAUAACAAACGACUUUGUUAUGAAAUUCCUACUUUGAAAGAUUGUAUUCGUAGACCAAUUUAUUGAAUCGGAAAUUGUAUUGUAUUU
Long non-coding RNA from Rhododendron vialii, 382 nucleotides. RefSeq lists it as uncharacterized. The transcript is spliced from 2 exons. Lineage: Eukaryota; Viridiplantae; Streptophyta; Magnoliopsida; Ericales; Ericaceae. The record is from RefSeq and is a predicted model, not a curated record.